UACGGAGGGUGCAAGCGUUAUCCGGAUUCACUGGGUUUAAAGGGUGCGUAGGUGGGUUGAUAAGUCAGUGGUGAAAUCCCCGAGCUUAACUUGGGAACUGCCAUUGAUACUAUUGAUCUUGAAUACCGUGGAGGUCAGCGGAAUAUGUCAUGUAGCGGUGAAAUGCUUAGAUAUGACAUAGAACACCAAUUGCGAAGGCAGCUGGCUACACAAAUAUUGACACUGAGGCACGAAAGCGUGGGGAUCAAACAGG
Molecule: ribosomal RNA, 253 nt
Filed under: uncultured bacterium
Lineage: Bacteria
Description: partial 16S ribosomal RNA
Rfam family: Bacterial small subunit ribosomal RNA
Source: RNAcentral